Molecule: transfer RNA, 74 nt
Filed under: Patescibacteria group bacterium
Lineage: Bacteria
Description: tRNA-Ile
Rfam family: tRNA
About the family: Transfer RNA (tRNA) molecules are approximately 80 nucleotides in length. Their secondary structure includes four short double-helical elements and three loops (D, anti-codon, and T loops). Further hydrogen bonds mediate the characteristic L-shaped molecular structure. tRNAs have two regions of fundamental functional importance: the anti-codon, which is responsible for specific mRNA codon recognition, and the 3' end, to which the tRNAs corresponding amino acid is attached (by aminoacyl-tRNA synthetases). tRNAs cope with the degeneracy of the genetic code in two manners: having more than one tRNA (with a specific anti-codon) for a particular amino acid; and 'wobble' base-pairing, i.e. permitting non-standard base-pairing at the 3rd anti-codon position.
Source: RNAcentral
GGGCGAUUAGCUCAGAUGGUUAGAGCGCUACACUGAUAAUGUAGAGGUCCGAGGUUCAAUUCCUCGAUCGCCCA